Molecule: ribosomal RNA, 375 nt
Filed under: uncultured bacterium
Lineage: Bacteria
Description: bacterial SSU rRNA
Rfam family: Bacterial small subunit ribosomal RNA
Source: RNAcentral
UACAGAGGGUGCAAGCGUUAAUCGGAUUUACUGGGCGUAAAGCGUGUGUAGGUGGUUGUUCAAGUCGGUUGUGAAAUCCCUGGGCUCAACCUGGGAAUUGCUUCCGAGACUGAGCGACUAGAGUACGGUAGAGGGCGGUGGAAUUUCCGGUGUAGCGGUGAAAUGCGUAGAUAUCGGAAGGAACACCAAUGGCGAAGGCAGCCGCCUGGGCCUGUACUGACACUGAGACACGAAAGCGUGGGGAUCAAACAGGAUUAGAUACCCUGGUAGUCCACGCCGUAAACGAUGGGUACUUGACGUCGGCAUGCUCUGCGUGUCGGUGUCGCAGCUAACGCGAUAAGUACCCCGCCUGGGGAGUACGGCCGCAAGGUUGAA